Molecule: ribosomal RNA, 306 nt
Filed under: Triticum aestivum (bread wheat)
Lineage: Eukaryota; Viridiplantae; Streptophyta; Magnoliopsida; Poales; Poaceae
Description: partial small subunit ribosomal RNA
Source: RNAcentral
AAGCAGAAGUAUCACAUGGUCAGCUGGCCUGACAUCUGCAAGCCCAGGGAGCAGGGUGGAUUGGGCAUCAUGUGCUCUAAAUGGAUGAAUAUUGCCCUCCUAUCCUAGUGGCUGUGGUGUAUCACGCAGGGUCAUGGUGGCCUCUGGCUGGACAUUAUCCGGAAUAAGUACCUGCGUGGUCAACCCCUUGCCUUCUGCCAGAAAUCUGGAGGAUCUCAGUUCUGGCAGUCCCUCGUCCAGCUUCUACCGGUGCUCCGCAUUGGUACCUCUAUCUCGGUGGGGUCCGGCCUCUCGACGCUCUUCUAG